GGAAAGGAAGCUGAGUGGUAGAGCAUCUGCCCUUGCAUGCAGAAGGCCCCAGUUUCAAUCCCCAGCAUUUCCA
Molecule: non-coding RNA, 73 nt
Organism: Podarcis lilfordi (Lilford's wall lizard)
Lineage: Eukaryota; Metazoa; Chordata; Lepidosauria; Squamata; Lacertidae
Source: the annotation of a GenBank genome assembly